UGGGGAAUAUUGCACAAUGGAGGGAACUCUGAUGCAGCGACGCCGCGUGAGUGAUGAAGGAAUUCGUUUCGUAAAACUCUGUUCUAUGGGAAGAAAAGGACUGUACCAUAGGAGAAAGCUCCGGCUAAAUACGUGCCAGCAGACGCGGUAAUACGUAUGGAGCGAGCGUUGUCCGGAAUUAUUGGGCGUAAAGGGUGCGCAGGCGGCUUUACAAGUUGGAUGUGAAAUAUUGUGGCUCAACCACAAACGUGCAUCCAAAACUGCAAAGCUUGAGUUAAGGAGAGGUAAGUGGAAUUCCUGGUGUAGCGGUGGAAUGCGUAGAUAUCAGGAGGAAUACCGGUGGCGAAGGCGACUUACUGGACUUAAACUGACGCUCAGGCACGAAAGCGUGGGGAGCAAACAGG
RNAcentral lists this ribosomal RNA (404 nucleotides) under Fusobacteriota bacterium. Its description in RNAcentral is "Fusobacteria bacterium partial 16S ribosomal RNA". It matches the Rfam family "Bacterial small subunit ribosomal RNA", at positions 355 to 776 of the family's 1533-position model. Lineage: Bacteria; Fusobacteriati; Fusobacteriota. The record is from RNAcentral.